Molecule: ribosomal RNA, 779 nt
Filed under: uncultured bacterium
Lineage: Bacteria
Description: bacterial SSU rRNA
Rfam family: Bacterial small subunit ribosomal RNA
Source: RNAcentral
GAGUUUGAUCCUGGCUCAGAUUGAACGCUGGCGGAAUGCUUUACACAUGCAAGUCGAACGAUGAAGCCUAGCUUGCUAGGUGGAAGAGUGGCGGACGGGUGAGUAAUAUAUCGAAACGUAUCCAAUAAUGGGGGACAACUAGCCGAAAGGUUAGCUAAUACCGCAUACGCCCUGAGGGGGAAAGCUGGGGAUCUUCGGACCUGGCGUUAAUGGAGCGGUCGAUAUCUGAUUAGCUAGUUGGUAGGGUAAAGGCCUACCAAGGCGACGAUCAGUAGCUGGUCUGAGAGGACGACCAGCCACACUGGGACUGAGACGCGGCCCAGACUCCUACGGGAGGCAGCAGUGGGGAAUUUUGGACAAUGGGGGCAACCCUGAUCCAGCCAUUCCGCGUGAGUGAAGAAGGCCUUCGGGUUGUAAAGCUCUUUCGCAAGGGAAGAAACGACAUAAUUUAAUAGAUUAUGUUAAUGACGGUACCUUGACAAGAAGCACCGGCUAACUACGUGCCAGCAGCCGCGGUAAUACGUAGGGUGCAAGCGUUAAUCGGAAUUACUGGGCGUAAAGCGUGCGCAGGCUGUUUUGUAAGUCAGAUGUGAAAUCCCCGAGCUCAACUUGGGAACUGCGUUUGAAACUACAAGACUAGAAUAGGUUAGAGGGGGGUAGAAUUCCACGUGUAGCAGUGAAAUGCGUAGAUAUGUGGAGGAAUACCAAUGGCGAAGGCAGCCCCCUGGGAUCAUAUUGACGCUCAUGCACGAAAGCGUGGGGAGCAAACAGGAUUAGAU